GAUGAACGCUGGCGGCGUGCCUAAUACAUGCAAGUCGAGCGAACAGACGAGGAGCUUGCUCCUCUGACGUUAGCGGCGGACGGGUGAGUAACACGUGGAUAACCUACCUAUAAGACUGGGAUAACUUCGGGAAACCGGAGCUAAUACCGGAUAAUAUAUUGAACCGCAUGGUUCAAUAGUGAAAGACGGUUUUGCUGUCACUUAUAGAUGGAUCCGCGCCGCAUUAGCUAGUUGGUAAGGUAACGGCUUACCAAGGCAACGAUGCGUAGCCGAACUGAGAGGGUGAUCGGCCACACUGGAACUGAGACACGGUCCAGACUCCUACGGGAGGCAGCAGUAGGGAAUCUUCCGCAAUGGGCGAAAGCCUGACGGAGCAACGCCGCGUGAGUGAUGAAGGUCUUCGGAUCGUAAAACUCUGUUAUUAGGGAAGAACAAAUGUGUAAGUAACUAUGCACGUCUUGACGGUACCUAAUCAGGAAGCCACGGCUAACUACGUG
This 497-nucleotide ribosomal RNA is filed under the name uncultured bacterium. RNAcentral describes it as "partial 16S ribosomal RNA". It matches the Rfam family "Bacterial small subunit ribosomal RNA", at positions 28 to 507 of the family's 1533-position model. The record is from RNAcentral.